This is a non-coding RNA of Anas platyrhynchos (mallard), 556 nucleotides long. The record is from RefSeq and is a predicted model, not a curated record. NCBI's taxonomy places the organism in Eukaryota, Metazoa, Chordata, Aves, Anseriformes, Anatidae.
UCUGUAGCUGUAAACAAGGGAGAAAAAAAAGCCAGUCCAUGCACCGCUUACUACCUGAAGGAGCCUUAAAAAAAAAAAAAAAACACAAAAAAAAACAACAACCCGGGCUGGAGGAGGGCGACAACCGCAUUCCCGCUGCCCCCGGAAGAGAUUGCGGCUUAAAAAAAAUAAUAAUAAUAAUAAAUUAAGAAUAAAUAAGAAGAAAGAAAGAAAAAAAUCCAAAUCGCAGCGAAAAAAAAAACAAAAACAAAAAAAAAGGAGCAAUUUGGGGAAAUCCGCGUUUUCCUGCGGCGGAGAUCGGGGCGCGGAGCCGCCGCCAGGUUUGCAGCCGCCGGGCUGGGGCGAAGACGCCGGAGUUUGGGUGCAAAUUCCAAAGAUUUGGGAAGAGUUGGCUAGCUAGAAUUAUUGUAUUUCUUGAGCGCUGCGGGCCGGUAGGUGAACGCUGAGAGCCGGGGCGGUUUUGUUGGCGUCUCCGUUGGGUUUUGGGUCGUUUUAGGGGCUCCGUGAGGCCCUAAAAAUGCGUUUCAGAGGGAAAAGGAAAAAAAAAAAAAAAAAA